RNAcentral lists this unclassified non-coding RNA (1740 nucleotides) under Anthonomus grandis grandis. Its description in RNAcentral is "uncharacterized LOC126735293". Lineage: Eukaryota; Metazoa; Arthropoda; Insecta; Coleoptera; Curculionidae. The record is from RNAcentral.
GUGCAGAAUGCAAUAAUUUUUUUUUGGUGAUGGCGCUGUGGUUGUACGUCGUCUCUUAGUUUUUAUCAAAUAUUUGUGUUAAACAAAUAUUGGUAUCAAUGUAACAAAGAGCGAUAUAAAUUUUUCAAAUCUGUUGGAAGAAAAAGGCCGAAUACGGCCAAACAAAUUAGUUAUUUUAAAUUAAACAAUCUUUUUUUACACAGAUAUUAAUGCUUUACUUAUAACAAAUUCAAGAUACAGAUUCAUUUACCAAUUUACUGGGGAAAAUUUGGGCUUCUUGGCACUAUUUUAAAAUUCCAAUCUUUAGCAAAUUUCUGCAUUGAAAGACUGUUAAAAGGAAUAUUGUCGCAAAUUAAAAGGUCUGGACAUCCAAACAUCCUGCAAAAAUUGAUUUUAAUUUUUUUCAUGAUUUUGGUUGACGAUUUGCUUUUAAUUGAGACAAGCUCUAACUAAUUCAAUUAUGAAUCAUAAAUACUAUAGAUAGCUAGAAUUUGCAAAAGAAAAAAUAUCAGUGGCAACUAUCUCCCAUGGCCUUUAGGGUCGUAAUAGAUAGGCCUAGACUAAUAUUAUUAAGAUCUAAUAAUCUAAAGGCUGGAAUACCUAUAAUACACUUUUUUAUAUUUCAUUGCUAUGCUUUUUCUCACUAUUGAUUUCUUUUCAUUCUCAAAAACGACUUUGAUAUUGGGAACUCCAUCUACCACUAGGGGCGAAAAGCAGACAUCACACAGGGCAGAUGCAUCCAUGUCCGUUGUGAGCUACUGUAAAAUUGUAUUUUUUUACUUAACUGGCGAAAAAUUGUAUUUUUUUUGCUUUUAAUUCAACGGCGAACGUUCUGUAGGAACCUUAAGUCUUCAUUCAGUACAAUAGUAAACAAUUGAAUUACAAUGUGGACAGUACAAUAAUGCACAUACUAAUCGUGAUUGUAAAAUUAUUACACAUUUAAAGUGUGAAAACUUUAAAACUGGAAUACAAGCACAAACAGUAAAAAAAAUUAGGGUAUUAAAUAGAGUUGGGCAUGGUCAAUUGACCAACACCUAUUUGACCAGUCAAUUUCGGUCAAAAUAUAUAAAAUAUUCAAAAACCAUUUAUUUAUGUUUUAUUUAGAGUUUUAUGAUAUAAGUAAGUGCAUUAAUUUCAUUUUAAUAUUUAUACAUUAUUGAAAGCAGUCCAAUUUACUCACAACCGUCUUCUACGAAAUCCGAUACACCUGAUUCGGGGAAUCUCAACACUCGCAACAAAACGACUGAAAACGUAUUUCGUAUUUACUAGCGUUAGAGAUUGUAGCUGGAGCUGUACUCAUAAUUAUUGGAUUUUUGUGAACUAACAACGUAAUUACAAUGAGUUUGGGCAAGUCCAAAACCAAAAUUUGGAAUUGUUUCACGGAAACUCGCGUAGAAAUUAAAGUGAAAGGCAAAUGUAACUACUGUGAAGCAGUUUACAUCACUCAUGCCGAUAGAAUGCAGAAUCACAUACUCAAAAAGUGCAAAUCAGUUCCAGAAGCGGUUCGACAAGAUUAUACUGAAGAUUGUUAAGGUUCAACAUAGGAUAGCAAAAUGCUUUAACGGGAUGCACGUCACACACAGUGCUUGUGUGUGUUAUCCAUACAUUACCUAUAAUAUAAACAUCUCUAUAUUGUUGGUAUUUCCUAAAUUUAUAUGUAUAUAAUGUUCAUUAUGGGUAAUAAAAUGGUUUUGAACUGAAGUAAAAUUAAAUUAAAAGUAUUAAGAGAUGUGAUUUUUU